AUACGUAGGGGGCGAGCGUUGUCCGGAAUGACUGGGCGUAAAGGGCGUGUAGGCGGCGGUGUAAGUCUGGAGUGAAAGUCCCGCAUUCAAUGUGGGAAUUGCUUUGGAUACUGCAGUGCUAGAGUGCGGAAGAGGUAAGUGGAAUUCCCAGUGUAGCGGUGAAAUGCGUAGAGAUUGGGAGGAACACCAGUGGCGAAGGCGGAUUACAGGGCCGUAACGGACGCUGAGGCGCGAAAGCGUGGGGAGCGAACAGGAUUAGAGACCCUGUUAGACCACGCGGUAAACGAUGAAUGCUAGGUGUAGCCGGUAUCGACCCCUUCAGUGCCGGAGUAGACACAAUAAGCAUUCCGCCUGGGGAGUACGGCCGCAAGGUUGAAACUCAAAGGAAUUGACAGGG
This 397-nucleotide ribosomal RNA is filed under the name uncultured bacterium. RNAcentral's name for it is "partial 16S ribosomal RNA". It matches the Rfam family "Bacterial small subunit ribosomal RNA", at positions 523 to 918 of the family's 1533-position model. The record is from RNAcentral.